GACGAACGCUGGCGGCGUGCCUAAUACAUGCAAGUAGAACGCAGUUGCGAACGGGUGAGUAACGCGUAGGUAACUGCCUCAUAGCGGGGGAUAACUAUUGGAAACGAUCUCUAAUACCGCAUACUGUGAGCUGGCCCUGCGUUGGAUUUGCUAGUUGGUGAGGGAAAGGCUGACCAAGGCGACGAUACAUAGCCGACCUGAGAGGGUGGUCGGGCAACCUGGGACUGAGACACGGCCCAGACUACGUCGGGGGGCAGUAGUAGGGAAUCUUCGGGAAUGGACGGAAGUCUGAACGAGCACAGCCGGGGGAGUGAAGAAGGUGUUCGGAUCGUAAAGCUCUGUUGUUAGGGAAGCGGUAACUAACCAGAAAGGGACGGCUAACUACGUGCCAGCAGCCGCGGUAAUAC
RNAcentral lists this ribosomal RNA (407 nucleotides) under uncultured bacterium. RNAcentral describes it as "partial 16S ribosomal RNA". It matches the Rfam family "Bacterial small subunit ribosomal RNA", at positions 28 to 526 of the family's 1533-position model. The record is from RNAcentral.